RNAcentral lists this ribosomal RNA (497 nucleotides) under uncultured bacterium. RNAcentral's name for it is "partial 16S ribosomal RNA". It matches the Rfam family "Bacterial small subunit ribosomal RNA", at positions 28 to 507 of the family's 1533-position model. The record is from RNAcentral.
GAUGAACCCUGGCUUCUUGCCUAAUGCAUGCAUGUCGAGCGAUGAGACGAGUAGCUGUCUCCUUCGAGGAUAGCGCCAGACGGGUUUGUAACCCGUAGGCAACCUACCUAUUAGACUGGGAUAACUUCGGGAAACUGGGGUUACGACCGGAUAAUUUUUCGAACCAGUGUGUUCGAUUGUGUAAGCUGACUUUCCCAUCCCUUAUAGUUUGACCUGCGCCGUAUUAGCUAGUUGGUAAGGUAACGGCUUACCAAGGCAACGAUACGUAGCCGACCUGAGAGGGUGAGCGGCCACACUGGAACUGAGACACGGUCCAGACUCCUACGGGAGGCAGCAGUAGGGAAUCUUCCGCAAUGGGCGAAAGCCUGACGGAGCAACGCCGCGUGAGUGAUGAAGGUCUUCGGAUCGUAAAACUCUGUUAUUAGGGAAGAACAAACGUGUAAGUAACUGUGCACGGCUUGACGGUACCUAAUCAGAAAGCCGCGGCUAACUACGUG